This 468-nucleotide ribosomal RNA is filed under the name uncultured bacterium. Its description in RNAcentral is "partial 16S ribosomal RNA". It matches the Rfam family "Bacterial small subunit ribosomal RNA", at positions 28 to 507 of the family's 1533-position model. The record is from RNAcentral.
GACGAACGCUGGCGGCGUGCUUAACACAUGCAAGUCGAACGGAAAGGCCCUGCUUUUGUGGGGUGCUCGAGUGGCGAACGGGUGAGUAACACGUGAGUAACCUGCCCUUGACUUUGGGAUAACUUCAGGAAACUGGGGCUAAUACCGGAUAGGAGCUCCUGCUGCAUGGUGGGGGUUGGAAAGUUUCGGCGGUUGGGGAUGGACUCGCGGCUUAUCAGCUUGUUGGUGGGGUAGUGGCUUACCAAGGCUUUGACGGGUAGCCGGCCUGAGAGGGUGACCGGCCACAUUGGGACUGAGAUAUGGCCCAGACUCCUACGGGAGGCAGCAGUGGGGAAUAUUGCACAAUGGGCGGAAGCCUGAUGCAGCAACGCCGCGUGCGGGAUGACGGCCUUCGGGUUGUAAACCGCUUUCGCCUGUGACGAGGCGUGAGUGACGGUAAUGGGUAAAGAAGCACCGGCUAACUACGUG